AGGGCACCACCAGGAGUGGAGCCUGCGGCUUAAUUUGACUCAACACGGGAAAACUCGCCCGGCCCGGACACUGGAAGGAUUGACAGAUUGAGAGCUCUUUCUUGAUUCAGUGGGUGGUGGUGCAUGGCCGUUCUUAGUUGGUGGAGUGAUUUGUCUGGUUAAUUCCGAUAACGAACGAGACUCUAGCCUAUUAAAUAGAUCGUUGGCUUACAAACGCCGGCGAGACUUCUUAGAGGGACAGGCGGCGAUUCAGCCGCACGAAACAGAGCAAUAACAGGUCUGUGAUGCCCUUAGAUGUCCGGGGCCGCACGCGCGCUACACUGAAGUGAUCAGCGUGCAUUUUGAAACCUACUCUGUCAAGAGUGGGGAACCCAAUGAACCUUCUUCGUGAUUGGGAUAGGGGAUUGUAAUUAUUCCCCUUGAACGAGGAAUUCCCAGUAAGCGCGAAUCAUAAGUUUGCGCUGAUUACGUCCCUGCCCUUUGUACACACCGCCCGUCGCUACUACCGAUUGAAUGUUU
This 519-nucleotide ribosomal RNA is filed under the name uncultured eukaryote. RNAcentral describes it as "SSU rRNA". It matches the Rfam family "Eukaryotic small subunit ribosomal RNA", at positions 1161 to 1698 of the family's 1831-position model. The record is from RNAcentral.